GAUGAACGCUGGCGGCGUGCCUAAUACAUGCAAGUCGAGCGAACAGACGAGGAGCUUGCUCCUCUGACGUUAGCGGCGGACGGGUGAGUAACACGUGGAUAACCUACCUAUAAGACUGGGAUAACUUCGGGAAACCGGAGCUAUUACCGGAUAAUAUAUUGAACCGCAUGGUUCAAUAGUGAAAGACGGUUUUGCUGUCACUUAUAGAUGGAUUCGCGCCGCAUUAGCUAGUUGGUAAGGUAACGGCUUACCAAGGCAACGAUGCGUAGCCGACCUGAGAGGGUGAUCGGCCACACUGGAACUGAGACACGGUCCAGACUCCUACGGGAGGCAGCAGUAGGGAAUCUUCCGCAAUGGGCGAAAGCCUGACGGAGCAACGCCGCGUGAGUGAUGAAGGUCUUCGGAUCGUAAAACUCUGUUAUUAGGGAAGAACAAAUGUGUAAGUAACUAUGCACGUCUUGACGGUACCUAAUCAGAAAGCCACGGCUAACUACGUGCCAGCAGCCGCAGUAA
RNAcentral lists this ribosomal RNA (513 nucleotides) under uncultured bacterium. Its description in RNAcentral is "partial 16S ribosomal RNA". It matches the Rfam family "Bacterial small subunit ribosomal RNA", at positions 28 to 523 of the family's 1533-position model. The record is from RNAcentral.